Molecule: long non-coding RNA, 322 nt
Filed under: Capsicum annuum
Lineage: Eukaryota; Viridiplantae; Streptophyta; Magnoliopsida; Solanales; Solanaceae
Description: long non-coding RNA (CANN_LNC017406)
Source: RNAcentral
UUGCUUUUCUGAACAAUAUUCCACUAUUUAUUUAAAUUCAGAGGGCUUGUUAUAUUCACUAAAAUUAUUUGCAUACAAUCUUGCGAAAAAGAUGGAGUAAACAUCACAACCUUAAAUCAGAGAAUCACACAUCUAGUAUUUUUACUUGGAUGGAUCAUUUUGGACGAAGAUGAAAUAGGCAAUGACAAUAGUACCGAUGAUUCUGCCAAAAAUAGCAGCGAGGCUAGUUAACAACCUCCAUUUUCUGUGUGACAUCCUUCAAUCUUCUUCUUUCAAAACUCUUUAAUCUCAAUAUCGCCAUAUCAUUUUUCCUUAAAACAGG